GGGGUGCGGACAGUGUCUGGUGGGUAGUUUGACUGGGGCGGUCUCCUCCCAAAGCGUAACGGAGGAGCACGAAGGUUGGCUAAGCAUGGUCGGACAUCAUGCGGUUAGUGCAAAGGCAUAAGCCAGCUUGACUGCGAGAGUGACGGCUCGAGCAGGUACGAAAGUAGGUCUUAGUGAUCCGGUGGUUCUGAAUGGAAGGGCCAUCGCUCAACGGAUAAAAGGUACUCCGGGGAUAACAGGCUGAUACCGCCCAAGAGUUCAUAUCGACGGCGGUGUUUGGCACCUCGAUGUCGGCUCAUCACAUCCUGGGGCUGAAGUAGGUCCCAAGGGUAUGGCUGUUCGCCAUUUAAAGUGGUACGCGAGCUGGGUUUAGAACGUCGUGAGACAGUUCGGUCCCUAUCUGCCGUGGGCGUUGGAAGAUUGAAAGGGGCUGCUCCUAGUACGAGAGGACCGGAGUGGACGCACCGCUGGUGUUCGGGUUGUCAUGCCAAUGGCACUGCCCGGUAGCUAAGUGCGGAAGAGAUAACCGCUGAAAGCAUCUAAGCGGGAAACUUGCCUUGAGAUGAGUCUUCCCUGACUCUUUAAGGGUCCUAAAGGAACGUUUAAGACGAAGACGUUGAUAGGCUGGGUGUGUAAGCGUAGCGAUACGUUGAGCUAACCAGUACUAAUGAACCGUGAGGCUUAACCUG
Molecule: ribosomal RNA, 689 nt
Filed under: Providencia stuartii
Lineage: Bacteria; Pseudomonadati; Pseudomonadota; Gammaproteobacteria; Enterobacterales; Morganellaceae
Description: partial 23S ribosomal RNA
Rfam family: Bacterial large subunit ribosomal RNA
Source: RNAcentral